AUUGAACGCUGGCGGCAGGCUUAACACAUGCAAGUCGAGCGGGGGAAGGUAGCUUGCUACCGGACCUAGCGGCGGACGGGUGAGUAAUGCUUAGGAAUCUGCCUAUUAGUGGGGGACAACAUCUCGAAAGGGAUGCUAAUACCGCAUACGUCCUACGGGAGAAAGCAGGGGAUCUUCGGACCUUGCGCUAAUAGAUGAGCCUAAGUCAGAUUAGCUAGUUGGUGGGGUAAAGGCCUACCAAGGCGACGAUCUGUAGCGGGUCUGAGAGGAUGAUCCGCCGCACUGGGACUGAGACACGGCCCAGACUCCUACGGGAGGCAGCAGUGGGGAAUAUUGGACAAUGGGGGGAACCCUGAUCCAGCCAUGCCGCGUGUGUGAAGAAGGCCUUAUGGUUGUAAAGCACUUUAAGCGAGGAGGAGGCUACUUUAGUUAAUACCUAGAGAUAGUGGACGUUACUCGCAGAAUAAGCACCGGCUAACUCUGUGUCAGCAGCCGCCGUAA
Molecule: ribosomal RNA, 501 nt
Filed under: uncultured bacterium
Lineage: Bacteria
Description: partial 16S ribosomal RNA
Rfam family: Bacterial small subunit ribosomal RNA
Source: RNAcentral